RNAcentral lists this ribosomal RNA (448 nucleotides) under uncultured bacterium. Its description in RNAcentral is "SSU rRNA". It matches the Rfam family "Bacterial small subunit ribosomal RNA", at positions 26 to 518 of the family's 1533-position model. The record is from RNAcentral.
AGAGCGAACGCUGGCGGCAGGCUUAACACAUGCAAGUCGAGCGGGCGUAGCAAUACGUCAGCGGCAGACGGGUGAGUAACGCGUGGGAACAUACCUUUUGGUUCGGAACAACACAGGGAAACUUGUGCUAAUACCGGAUAAGCCCUUACGGGGAAAGAUUUAUCGCCGAAAGAUUGGCCCGCGUCUGAUUAGCUAGUUGGUGAGGUAAUGGCUCACCAAGGCGACGAUCAGUAGCUGGUCUGAGAGGAUGAUCAGCCACAUUGGGACUGAGACACGGCCCAAACUCCUACGGGAGGCAGCAGUGGGGAAUAUUGGACAAUGGGCGCAAGCCUGAUCCAGCCAUGCCGCGUGAGUGAUGAAGGCCCUAGGGUUGUAAAGCUCUUUUGUGCGGGAAGAUAAUGACGGUACCGCAAGAAUAAGCCCCGGCUAACUUCGCGCCAGCAGCCGC